AGAUUAAGUUAUUAAGGGCGCACGGUGGAUGCCUUGGCACUAGAAGCCAAUGAAGGACGUUACUAACGACGAUAUGCUUUGGGGAGCUGUAAGUAAGC
Molecule: ribosomal RNA, 98 nt
Rfam family: Bacterial large subunit ribosomal RNA